AAAGAAAGAAAGAAAGAAAGAAAGAAAGAAAGAAAGAAAGAAAGAAAGAAAGAAAGAAAGAAAGAAAGAAAGAAAGAAAGAAAGAAAGAAAGAAAGAAAGAAAGAAAGAAAAAGUUGGAUACCACUGAGAGAGCAUGUGAACUGGGUCCGUUUUUCCACAAUGCCAAGUGUGUAUAGAGAUAUGAGUCGUGGUCACUCAGGUGGAGCCCUCCUCUGUUCCUACAUCACCACAGAAACAGGCCUCUCAUUUUGUUAUCACUUACAGACUAAAUUGGGGCUACAUUGGAAUUGCCCCACUUGACCAACAAUCGCCGCCCUACUAGGGAAUAUGCUGUUUAAGGAAUAGCUAACACUUGGGAACUGAUAAGUGGGAUUGACAAUAAUCUGUGAUUAAUAUGUAGAUGUUUAAACUUCCUCUUCACUUUUUGGUUGGUGGUCUCUGCUGUUUGCUUGUCAACAGCCCUGUGGCGUGCCCAAGCCUGUGGCUAUUCCCAUUUCUCCUGGUAUUCCCAGUUCUCCUCCUGGCUUGGCUGGGCUCCUCUCCAGCUUCCUGUAGUGGAGUGUUUGGCAUCACACCGUGCCCAGGAACACACAUUGCAGCCAUGCCUGUGGGCAUGAAGUGUGUGUGUGGGAGAGAGAGAGGGAGAGAGAUGGAGUGUCAGGGGACGUAGAGUAAAGGUACUGUCUCUCUCAAACACACACACACACACACACACACACACACACACACACACACACACACACACACACACACACACACACACACACACACACACACACACACACACACACACACACACACACACACACACACACACACACACACACACACACACACACACACACACACACACACACACACACUACUUAGCAGUGCCACACUUUCUCACAUGUGGGCUUCCUUUUCUUUACUAGUUUUUGUUGACUGCUGAGAUAGACAUACCCUCUGUGUUUGGUAGACCUGGAGUAAGAGGAGAGGACAGGAGAGGGGCCAGACUCACCCAGGUGGACAGAGGUAGGAGUGGACGGAAGAGGACACCCAUGGAGGAAGGUCACUCUGAUAUUUCCCACUACUGACCCCCUUGUCGUGCAUAGCCAGACAUCGUAUUCUUGCAAUCGCAAAAAUCAAAGCUAGUGACACGUUGAUGACUCGGCUGGUAUUCUUGUGCUUUCUCAGGAAAUGGGAGGCUGUGGAGGAUAUGACAAACAGCCCUCAUUCAGUCAGCAGACUAACAGCUCUACUGUACGCCACAGGGUACAGACCCUUGGCAGGCAGAGAGGUCGCUGAGCUCUGAGAACAACAGUUAGUUGGGUGGGUGAGUAACAUUGUAACAUUCAUGUUUGUUGGGUGAGUUCUAGAAUAGAAGACGAGUAGACUGGUUAGAUGUUGUUACAUAUUUCUUACAGUCAUUUAUUGUUGAUAGAUAAUGAUUGCUGUAAUGAAUUGUGCAUACAAAAUUGUACAAUUGUCCUAUACUGUCUAAUAUUAUAUCAUGUGUUAUGUUUUCUUUAUGUUGACGUGACGAGAAUAGUAUCUGAAGAUAUGAUAGUAUUCUUAUAAUGUUGCUGCAGAUCUUCUUCACAGCUCUACUGUUAAGAGGCAGUGUCCAAAGUGUGGAGGAUGAUGUCACACGUCAGCUGUCCUCAUAGCUGGGCUACCAUGGCAACGACAUUCAUCAGAAUGACUUGCUGCAAAAGCAAAGCACUGUCACGAUCACUUUCUGUACUGACAGAUCACUUUACGAGGAUAAUUAUUGUGUUUGUGUAAGGUUAAGCAUUGAAAUGCGAUGCCAAAUGAGUGGACUGUCUUUGUAAAUCUACUUGUCAUCCAUGUCACAACUGCUGCACAGAGUUUCUAAAUAAGCAAAGUGUCCUCCAAAAUCUUUGCUGCUGCCACGCAACCACUGCAUCCCUAUUGUCCGGCAGGGAAAGUCUUCCCCCAGAGGCUGGUUUCACAUGGUGGUUUAGAUUAAUGUUCCCAGUGUCUAGCACCAUUUGAAAUCAGUGUUCUUGGGGACAGGAGAACAGCACUGGGCCUCUGGUAGUGUCAGUCAGUCUAUUGGAGCCAUCCUCUCUCUCUCUCUCCCCUUUAAAGGAUGACUGAUUUCCUCUGGUGUUUAGAGCCCCUUACAGCCUUCUAGCACCAUUUGAAAUCGGUUAUAAUGACUGGGGAUCAAUGCCUCAAUGUCUUCACGAUGUCUACAUGUUAACUCUACAGUCAAGCAGACAGGAAAUGAAUUGGAUGAAUGUUCAUAUUAUACGUGUCACAGGGUCUGCUCUUCAGAUCCUGGAAUCGCAAUGAGUUGGACAGGAGCUCAAUUCCAGUGGGACAGUUUAAAAGUUUUUAUUGAAUAAAUGUUCAAUAAAACUGAAUUGAUAUUGCAACCUUA
Oncorhynchus gorbuscha (pink salmon) is the source of this 2390-nucleotide long non-coding RNA. RefSeq lists it as uncharacterized. The transcript has 2 exons. NCBI's taxonomy places the organism in Eukaryota, Metazoa, Chordata, Actinopteri, Salmoniformes, Salmonidae. The record is from RefSeq and is a predicted model, not a curated record.